Chlorocebus sabaeus (green monkey) is the source of this 5001-nucleotide non-coding RNA. Lineage: Eukaryota; Metazoa; Chordata; Mammalia; Primates; Cercopithecidae. The record is from RefSeq and is a predicted model, not a curated record.
UCCAAUCCCGUUACAAAAACCACGGACUUCCGUUUCGUUGCCCUUGUAAGCCCCGCCUGGUCCCGCCUUCUCCUGAGAAAGAGCUCAGUUGUCAAGGAACUAUUUUUCUUGCCGUCGUCGCAGAGAGGCCUUUGGAAAAGCGGAAGGGCACGGAGGGUUCUGGCCUUUGUUGCUGGCGCCUGCGUGGUGUCAUGGGAACGUGGCGGGGCGGUGAGUGACGUGAGGGGGCGUGACGGCCAGGCCGGGAGGAGUUGCCCGCGCGGGAGAAAAGAGGCUGGGCAGGGAAAGUGGCUUUGAAGAGCUUCUUGGCGUCGGACGGACGCCCAACAAAUGCUUGUCGGCCAAGUAGAGGAUUCACACUACAAGGAAUACUAAAGGAUGUUCUCCACACUGAAGGAAAAUGAUCUAAAGAGAAACACAGAUCUGUAAGAAGAAAUGAAGAGCACUGCUAAAGGUCCAGCAGAGCAAGUGGGUGGUGAGAUGCCGGCAGCGGAAUUCUAGAAGCAGUGCCUCCCAGAACAGCACUACAGUACUGAGAAAGGACUAUACACCUGGGAAGCUAUCACACACAUAAAAUUAUUUCAUGAAAACUUUCUUUGGGUAAAGGAAGGGUUCCACUGCGUAGUAUUUGAGAAGGGCUGCGUGGUGCAUAAGGUUAAGAAAGAAAUGACUAUAUUUGCCUUUAAACACUUCAGCUGAUUCCAAGCACUCCAGAGGAUCAGUGAGAAGAAACUACACUAAUUAAAGACACCACCACCUGCCAAAUAAUAGCGUUGUGCUGCAAGGAAUGGGGCUAGGGAGAGUGUUUCACAAAUGCAGAACACUGGGCCACAAGGUUAAAGUCAUGCACUAAAACAGUCAAUCCCAAGAAGCAGGUGUCUGAGUGGCGCAACUCAGAAGCAAGUACAUAAAAACGGAACACUCCCACCAGGACACCACUCUAGCCCCACUUCUGCCAAAGGAAAGUUUUCACAUCAAGGUGUAACACACAUCUUUGGAGUUCAACGUUUAUCCCUCCCCACUCCCCAAAGAGAAAGGAAAUACAAGUUAAGGUCCUCAUAGCAAUGGUUUGUCUCCCACUUGGGAAAGCUGGUUAUUGUCAACAUUUUUAUUUAAGAAAACAGGAUUUAACAUGGCAUUUUUCUUCCCUCUAAGGGCAGCAGCACAUAAAUCAUACAUCAGUCAUCCAGUGAUACAAAGAGGUGGCCAACUGUGUCUGAAGUAGUCACUUGUAAAGGAUCAUAACCCAGGCAGUGUUGCUUUUCUGCAAACAGAAGGAAACAGAAGGCUCCAUGGUCCUUGAAGAUUAUCCAAGUUUUCCACUAGUUGUCAAGAUUUCUGUCCCAACCUCUUAGUCACCAUUUACAGCAAGAAGAGCCAGCAAGUGAAAAACUGUUAAUUUAUUGAUUCAAAGUUUUUUUUUUCUUUUUAAAAAACAAUCCCCAAUACAUGCAGUUCAGGGUUAAGUAUCACAUUUGUAGCACAUUGUUGAGUCUCAACACAAAAAUAUGCAACACCUGUAUAAUCCCAUCACAUCUUUUUCCAGCCUCUACAAUACCUAGUUGGGGGUGUUUGCAUUUACACAUCCACAUAGCUUAGAAGCAUGUUAUUAGCGGUUGAUCUGGCCCGAUGCUUCUCUGCCACCUCCCCUGCCCUGGUCUCCACCGUGGGGUUAUUUUUUUCUAAAGGCAGGAUGUUACUCAGUCUUAAUUUAUUAAGGUCACUGACAAACUUUGGCUUCUUGUGUGCUCAUGUGGUCCCUGCUUUUGCUUUCGGAAGGGUUUAUAUUGAAACGACUGUGACUCUGAUCAGUUAUUAUCCCCUCGUUUAUUUGUAGGAAAUAAGUUUGCUUGUUCCUGUGGGUGCUCACACAGUAACACAGGUUCCUAAAGUAAUCAUUUAAUCUGAACUGGCAUUAAAGGAAACUGUUAACUGGGCUCUCUUAGAUCUACUUCAGUUCAUAUAAAAAAACUCUUCCAAUUGUUGCGUGUGUCUCAAAGUAGUUCUGCUUCCAUCCUUAUCAACAGAGCACCUGGGAGAACCUAAGUCAUUUCCCUGAGUAGGCACAGACCAUGAGCCCCGCAGCACUCAGCUCUCUCCGGGACUCAGCACCUGACUCGAGAGCACCACCUUUCAGUCCACUGGGACCAAUCCAGCGGGCAGCGCCCUCCCCAGGGUGCAUUCCAGAACAUAAACUUGGUACCCUCUAAUUUAUCCCCUCAAGAAGUACAUUUCCUCCUCAAGAGCUACCUUUAGAUAGUUUUUCUUAUUGGUCCCUUUUAACAGCCCCUCCCCUAGCCACUCUCUUCAAGUCCCCAACGAUUACGAGUUUGUCUGUCUCUUCUAAUCUGUCAGUCUGAGAGCACCUUCCUCUCUGCAAGGGAACACAUUUGCUUUAAACCUUGUGAGUGCUGACAUGUUACAGAAUGUCUGGGAGGAGGCCCGGCUGAGUGACUGGUGUUUAAGUGCCUCAAUGAAUGACAUCAGCACUUCUCUAGUUGACGAGAAGGCCCAGGAAAGCUUGGUCUGCAUCAUACACUCAAUAGCUUCUCCUACCCAGCCACCUACCCUGCCUACAGGGAUAGGACGAAAGCAAGGCCAGCUGACAGCAUCCAGGGGAGAGUGAACUGCCACCACACCAGAGGUGCAAAUGUGACUCAGCACUUCAUGAGUUCUACUCUCACCAUGGGAUUUCUCAGCAGAAGCAAACCUUGCAGGCAGUUAGGCUCACCUGUAGCCAACAAAUGAUAUAGCCAUCUGGAUUUGGCAUAGGAACCUUUUGUUCUCACCAUACCAGGUCUAUGUUCUUGAACAUAGGCAGUACCUGAGAUGAUAGUAUAACACUACCCUGUUCCCCACAUUUUUUGCUUUUCUUUAGGAAAUAAUUAAGUCCUUAUCAUAGGCACUUUUAACCUGUUUAAGAUAAUGAAGCAAACAAAUGAAAAGUACUGAGAUGAGUUUAAGAAAGAAUAUGCUAAUUGAAAAAGAUACUGGGUGCGUACAUUUACCAUGGUUUAGUCUAAAUAUUAGACACACAGACACACAUACAGACACACACACACCCCUUUUGGAACUCUCCAAGACCAUCUCCGAAUCUAGGUAAAUAGUCUUAAAUUUUCGGGGGAGCUAGGUUUGGAAACAAAAAUGGUUUUUGGAGACAGGAAAAGAGACGGUCUGAAACUGGACUCACUUCAGUUUGGAAAAGAAUGGCGUAGGUGCCAAGACCAGACCCAGGAAGGGGUGAGCAUUUCAAGCCCAGUUAUGGUCUAAGUCUAAGGCAUGAAGAGAGGUAAAAGUCCAGGUGCUGGAAAAGCAAGCUGUGUGCUUAAAAGAAGAAUGCCUGUGUCAAAGUUGCAGUUAUAAAACCCUAGGACAAGGCAGGCAGGUGGUGUCUGCACCUACAUAACCGUCAGAGAGACAGGCAGAGGUCAAUCACCUGACUCUUCUCCUCCAGGUACUUUUAUGACCUUUGGGGGACCCACGGGAAAGGAAUGGGGUUACCGCUUCGCCAAGACCCUCCAGCAGGCUCCACAUGCCUGGUCCAGACAGGCAACUUAAAAAAAAAAAGGGAGGGCUGAGGAGUGGGUGAUAAAGGAGAUUGGAGGGGGAGCAGGAAAGACACGCAGUGGCACAUCUCCCUGAUGAUAACCAAUGCUUCAGGAUUGCCUAUCAGGGCACAUUAGAAGGCUUUUGAGAAUCCAAAACACUGAGUUUUGCUGCCUGACAUAUCAAUAUAGGUUUAGCCGAGAGCUCACAUCUUGCUUUUGAUUUUCAGGUAGAACAAAUGUUUACAUUAGUAUACAGCAUGUGCAAUGCAAGCGGGCAGCAUUGGUAUGAGAACCUUAACUGAAUGCAUUUCUUGGCUUUGGGAUCUUAUUUUUUAUUUUUUACUCUAUAAACUCAACUCUAUAAUAAGAGAAGAGAUUCAUUUGUAUUUUAAGUUCCCACAGACCAAACGACAAAAAUAGAAUCUACGUUUAGAGAUAGGACCUGCUACCAAUACCAAUAAGAUUUUAUUGGAAUAUGGAAUGUAAACAAAUGUUUCAAACAAACAAUCUAACCUUAUAAAAAUGUAUGGCAUUAUUAAAUAGUUAAUAAAGAAAUCCUAAAGGGUGAUGUGGUAAACACCUCUAGUUCUAGCCUAGGUGUGUGAAGUCCCCAGAGCUGUGGCAUGGCCCUGCAGCUGGGAUGAGGGGACUGCCUACAAACCAUGUUGCUGCUGAGUCCCCCAAAUGAAAUCAGCCCUAUUUUUGUUUAAUCAAACUCUAGCUUUCUCUGCUAACAUGAAGGUUUGCACAAUGGAUCCAACACUUGCUCCGGGAGCACCGUUUUCUUCCCCAAGCCCCUUGUAUAUUCCUCUCAGUUGCUUGAGUUUCAGAUGACCCUGCCCAGACAACUCUAGUACCUGCAUGCAAGACAGACUUAUCUUUGCCAUCACAUAAAUGAAUCACAUAUCAGAACUCACAAAUGCAUAUUACAGUGGGAAACUGUAUCUCAUGGGGAUAAAAGGAGGUGGGAGAGGGAUAUCUUUUUCGGUCUUUCCUGAAAAAAUUCUAAUGGGAUGUUUUCCUCCCUCGCCUUGCCUGAAGACUGACUUUCCAGCUUUAGUUAUGGUUGUGAACAAAAAGGUCUCUGUUUCAGAGAGGUGUAUUAAAAUAGGCGCACACAUAGGGAUGUGCUGGGAAACGGUGACGUUCUCUUACAAGGCUGCCAAAAAAAAAACAAAAAAAAAACAAAAAAAAAAAAACAAACAGAAAAAGCAAUAAAAAAAUAGCAACAAGAUUUUAUGGUAAGGCAAAUCAACAAAGGUUAUAGUGAGCUCCAAGUUAUGCACUUAGCAUGGAACUUCUGAUGAUACCCACGGACCAGUUCAUGGCAUUGUAAGGUUUCGUGAUCCCUCCUGACAUCAAAGAGGGCUCUUGUGAAAGUGACUGCAGUUUGCUCCCAAAUGAAUCCACUUGGAGGAAAACUGCAGGGAUGAGGUACAUUUCCUGGAGAGCU